RNAcentral lists this ribosomal RNA (263 nucleotides) under uncultured bacterium. RNAcentral's name for it is "partial 16S ribosomal RNA". It matches the Rfam family "Bacterial small subunit ribosomal RNA", at positions 91 to 354 of the family's 1533-position model. The record is from RNAcentral.
AGUAGUGGCGGACGGGUGAGUAACGCGUGGGUAACCUGCCUUACACAGGGGGAUAACACCUGGAAACAGGUGCUAAUACCGCAUAAGCGCACAGGGCCGCAUGGCCCGGUGUGAAAAACUCCGGUGGUGUAAGAUGGACCCGCGUCUGAUUAGCUUGUUGGCGGGGUAGGGGCCCACCAAGGCGACGAUCAGUAGCCGGCCUGAGAGGGUGGACGGCCACAUUGGGACUGAGACACGGCCCAAACUCCUACGGGAGGCAGCAG